RNAcentral lists this ribosomal RNA (521 nucleotides) under uncultured bacterium. Its description in RNAcentral is "bacterial SSU rRNA". It matches the Rfam family "Archaeal small subunit ribosomal RNA", at positions 345 to 866 of the family's 1478-position model. The record is from RNAcentral.
AACCUCCACAAUGUACGAGAGUGCGAUGGGGGGAUCCCAAGUGCUAUUCUUAACGGGAUAGCUUUUCUUAAGUGUAAAAAGCUUUUGGAAUAAGAGCUGGGCAAGACCGGUGCCAGCCGCCGCGGUAACACCGGCAGCUCUAGUGGUAGCUGUUUUUAUUGGGCCUAAAGCGUUCGUAGCCGGUUUGAUAAGUCUCUGGUGAAAUCCUGUAGCUUAACUGUGGGAAUUGCUGGUGAUACUGUUGAACUUGAGGUCGGGAGAGGUUAGCGGUACUCCCAGGGUAGAGGUGAAAUUCUGUAAUCCUGGGAGGACCACCUGUGGCGAAGGCGGCUAACUGGAACGAACCUGACGGUGAGGGACGAAAGCUAGGGGCGCGAACCGGAUUAGAUACCCGGGUAGUCCUAGCCGUAAACGAUGCGGACUUGGUGUUGGGGUGGCUUUGAGCUGUUUCGGUGCCGUAGGGAAGCUGUUAAGUCCGCCGCCUGGGAAGUACGGUCGCAAGACUGAAACUUAAAGGAAUU